Molecule: ribosomal RNA, 348 nt
Filed under: Oxylipeurus chiniri
Lineage: Eukaryota; Metazoa; Arthropoda; Insecta; Psocodea; Philopteridae
Description: partial 12S ribosomal RNA
Source: RNAcentral
AUAAAUUAUUUAUUUUUAAAAUUUUAAGCCUGGCGGUCCUUUGCUCUGUUUAGAGAGUUGUGUUUUCAAGAAAUCGAAAUUGCACGAUAACCUUUCUUUUUUUAGAAUAGAGUUUUAAUUAUAAAACUUCACCUUGCACACCGCCAUUUGAAGGGGUAGAAACAGACUCUUUCCCCUUUAAUCAAAGAAAAUGAAAUAAGUUAGGUAAAGGUGCAGGGAAUAAAAAAGAAUGAAGAUGCAACACACUGUUAAAAUUUUGGUUAGUGAAAAAAAGAGAAAAAAAUUUCUAAAAAGAAUUUAGAAGUAAAAAAGCAAAAAAAAAGCUUUUGAAAAGUGCAACACAAUGGG